AACGAACGCUGGCGGCAGGCCUAACACAUGCAAGUCGAGCGAGAUCUUCGGGUCUAGCGGCGGACGGGUGAGUAACGCGUGGGAAUAUGCCUCUUGGUACGGAAUAGCCUCGGGAAACUGGGAGUAAUACCGUAUGUGCCCUUUGGGGGAAAGAUUUAUCGCCAAGAGAUUAGCCCGCGUUGGAUUAGGUAGUUGGUGGGGUAAUGGCCUACCAAGCCGACGAUCCAUAGCUGGUUUGAGAGGAUGAUCAGCCACACUGGGACUGAGACACGGCCCAGACUCCUACGGGAGGCAGCAGUGGGGAAUCUUAGACAAUGGGGGCAACCCUGAUCUAGCCAUGCCGGGUGAGUGAUGAAGGCCUUAGGGUUGUAAAGCUCUUUAAGCUGGGAAGAUAAUGACGGUACCAGCAGAAGAAGCCCCGGCUAACUCCGUG
RNAcentral lists this ribosomal RNA (433 nucleotides) under uncultured bacterium. RNAcentral describes it as "partial 16S ribosomal RNA". It matches the Rfam family "Bacterial small subunit ribosomal RNA", at positions 29 to 507 of the family's 1533-position model. The record is from RNAcentral.